RNAcentral lists this ribosomal RNA (232 nucleotides) under uncultured bacterium. RNAcentral describes it as "partial 16S ribosomal RNA". It matches the Rfam family "Bacterial small subunit ribosomal RNA", at positions 796 to 1041 of the family's 1533-position model. The record is from RNAcentral.
CACGCCGUAAACGUUGAGAACUAAGUGUUGGGGAGACCCAGUGCUGAAGCUAACGCAUUAAGUUCUCCGCCUGAGGAGUACGCACGCAAGUGUAAAACUUAAAGGAAUUGACGGGGGCCCGCACAAGCAGUGGAGCAUGCGGUUUAAUUCGAGGCUACGCGAAGAACCUUACCAGGGCUUGACAGGAAACUUAAGACCCUAGAGAUAGGGGGAUAAUAAGUGAAACAGGUGG